RNAcentral lists this ribosomal RNA (301 nucleotides) under uncultured bacterium. RNAcentral's name for it is "partial 16S ribosomal RNA". It matches the Rfam family "Bacterial small subunit ribosomal RNA", at positions 509 to 809 of the family's 1533-position model. The record is from RNAcentral.
CAGUCGCCGCGGUAAUACGUAGGUGGCAAGCGUUGUCCGGAAUUAUUGGGCGUAAAGGGCUCGCAGGCGGUUUCUUAAGUCUGAUGUGAAAGCCCCCGGCUCAACCGGGGAGGGUCAUUGGAAACUGGGAAACUUGAGUGCAGAAGAGGAGAGUGGAAUUCCACGUGUAGCGGUGAAAUGCGUAGAGAUGUGGAGAAACACCAGUGGCGAAGGCGACUCUCUGGUCUGUAACUGACGCUGAGGAGCGAAAGCGUGGGGAGCGAACAGGAUUAGAUACCCGCGUAGUCCCUGUCUCUUAUAA